Molecule: long non-coding RNA, 604 nt
Filed under: Mytilus galloprovincialis (Mediterranean mussel)
Lineage: Eukaryota; Metazoa; Mollusca; Bivalvia; Mytilida; Mytilidae
Source: RNAcentral
GGUAUAUAAAUAUUGUAUUUUUGUCAUGCAAUAUGGUAACUUGGUCCCUUAAUUCUUAAUUACUGGUAUCUUCAUACUUACUAAUGCAAGUUAGGAAAGUUGACAAAUGUAAUAUGUCUAACUUGUAGACAACAGUAUUCACACAGAAUUACCUUUAUAGAAUUAUGUUGCAAAUUUACCCUGUUUUUUGUGACUCAUAUCUUUAAAAACAAUCACAGAGACAAUAUUUAUUUUGUUUUCUUGAAGAAAACUUCAAUUACAGACACAAUCAAUGUUACUAUUUAUUAUUUUCAUUUGUUUAGACAAUUGAAGUAGUUAGUUGAAUAAUUGUGCAGUUAGGUUCUUACAGUCGGAAAGCAAGCCCUUAGAAACGACCGUUGUUGCUACUUUCUUAAGACAACAAUGGGACUUAUAUUCAAAUCUGCCAUUCUGAAAAUGCGUUAAUUUCGCGGAAAAAUGAUUGGUGCCAAUUUCGAAAUUUUUCUUUUUUCUGUUUCUUACUUGCCAUUAAGGUCAGAAAUAGAUUUUUUUUAAUUUUUAAGCUCUAUGGUUCUUACUAAAAAGUAAAUAAUAAUUAAAUAUGUUAAAUAUGCCGUCUUUCAAC